This is a long non-coding RNA of Eptesicus fuscus (big brown bat), 238 nucleotides long. RefSeq lists it as uncharacterized. The transcript is spliced from 3 exons. The record is from RefSeq and is a predicted model, not a curated record. Lineage: Eukaryota; Metazoa; Chordata; Mammalia; Chiroptera; Vespertilionidae.
AGGGUGGGGCAGGCAAAACCAGAUGGUCUGAAGCUUCUUGCUGGCUUUUAACUUUGCCUGAUAAAUGAAUGAGACUCUCCUUUCUCCAGUUGACCACGCUAUAAGUCUUGCACAGCACUGGCGAAGAAUCAUGACCUUAGCGAUGAUGUGUCCUGUUCUCAAUGGAAGCCCAUAUCAAUUUAAAGGAGGUACUUCUUUGGAAAGAAGAGGAGAUGAGAUUUUCUCAACUUUAAGGAAG